GCUUGUCUCAAAGAUUAAGCCAUGCAUGUCUAAGUAUAAAUGUUAUACAGUGAAACUGCGAAUGGCUCAUUAAAACAGUUAUAGUUUAUUUGAUAAUCGAAUUUACAUGGAUAACCGUGGUAAUUCUAGAGCUAAUACAUGCUGGUUAGCCUGACUUUUAGGAAGGGCUGUAUUUAUUAGAUAACAAACCAAUAUUCCUCGUGUCUAUUGUGAUGACUCAUAAUAACUGAUCGGAUCGCAUGGGCUACGCCCGCGACAAACCAUUCAAGUUUCUGCCCCAUCAGCUUUCGAUGGUAGUGUAUUGGACUACCAUGGCUUUUACGGGUAACGGAGGAUUAGGGUUCGAUUCCGGAGAGGGAGCCUGAGAAACGGCUACCACAUCCAAGGAAGGCAGCAGG
This 398-nucleotide ribosomal RNA is filed under the name uncultured Oxytrichidae. RNAcentral's name for it is "partial small subunit ribosomal RNA". It matches the Rfam family "Eukaryotic small subunit ribosomal RNA", at positions 30 to 432 of the family's 1831-position model. The record is from RNAcentral. Lineage: Eukaryota; Ciliophora; Spirotrichea; Sporadotrichida; Oxytrichidae.